This 824-nucleotide ribosomal RNA is filed under the name uncultured marine bacterium. RNAcentral describes it as "bacterial SSU rRNA". It matches the Rfam family "Bacterial small subunit ribosomal RNA", at positions 60 to 932 of the family's 1533-position model. The record is from RNAcentral.
AGUCGAACGAAGUAGCAAUACUUAGUGGCAGACGGGUGAGUAACAUGUAGGUAUCUGCCCUUUGGCCUGGAAUAACACGAGGAAACUUGUGCUAAUACCGGAUAAGUCUUUACGGAGAAAGCUUUAUGCACCAUUGGAUGAGCCUGCACUUGAUUAGUUUGUUGGUGGGGUAAUGGCCUACCAAGACUGUGAUCAAUAGCUGAUUUGAGAGGAUGAUCAGCCACAUUGGGACUGAGACACGGCCCAAACUCCUACGGGAGGCAGCAGUGGGGAAUCUUGCACAAUGGAGGAAACUCUGAUGCAGCGAUGCCGCGUGAGUGAAGAAGGCCCUUGGGUUGUAAAGCUCUUUCGUCGGGGAAGAAAAUGACUGUACCCGAAUAAGAAGGUCCGGCUAACUUCGUGCCAGCAGCCGCGGUAAUACGAAGGGACCUAGCGUAGUUCGGAAUUACUGGGCUUAAAGAGUUCGUAGGUGGUUAAAAAAGUUAGUGGUGAAAUCCCAGAGCUUAACUCUGGAACUGCCAUUAAAACUUUUUAGCUAGAGUAUGAUAGAGGAAAGCAGAAUUUCUAGUGUAGAGGUGAAAUUCGUAGAUAUUAGAAAGAAUACCAAUUGCGAAGGCAGCUUUCUGGAUCAUUACUGACACUGAGGAACGAAAGCAUGGGUAGCGAAGAGGAUUAGAUACCCUCGUAGUCCAUGCCGUAAGCGAUGUGUGUUAGACGUUGGAAAUUUAUUUUCAGUGUCGCAGGGAAACCGAUAAACACACCGCCUGGGGAGUACGACCGCAAGGUUAAAACUCAAAUGAAUUGACGGGGACCCGCACAAGUAG